RNAcentral lists this ribosomal RNA (464 nucleotides) under uncultured bacterium. Its description in RNAcentral is "SSU rRNA". It matches the Rfam family "Bacterial small subunit ribosomal RNA", at positions 26 to 522 of the family's 1533-position model. The record is from RNAcentral.
AGAAUCAACGCUGGCGGCGUGCCUAACACAUGCAAGUCGCACGAGAAAGGGGAGCAAUCCCUGAGUACAGUGGCGCACGGGUGAGUAACACGUGAAUAAUCUACCUCCGAGUGGGGAAUAACUGAGAGAAAUCUUAGCUAAUACCGCAUAACACUUACGAGUCAAAGCAGCAAUGCGCUUGGAGAGGAGUUCGCGGCAGAUUAGUUAGUUGGCGGGGUAAUGGCCCACCAAGACGAUGAUCUGUAUCCGGCCUGAGAGGGCGCACGGACACACUGGAACUGAAACACGGUCCAGACUCCUACGGGAGGCAGCAGUGGGGAAUUUUGCGCAAUGGGGGAAACCCUGACGCAGCAACGCCGCGUGGAGGAUGAAGCCCCUUGGGGUGUAAACUCCUUUCGAUCGGGAAGAUAAUGACGGUACCGAUAUAAGAAGCCCCGGCUAACUUCGUGCCAGCAGCCGCAGUA